RNAcentral lists this ribosomal RNA (435 nucleotides) under uncultured bacterium. RNAcentral describes it as "partial 16S ribosomal RNA". It matches the Rfam family "Bacterial small subunit ribosomal RNA", at positions 29 to 507 of the family's 1533-position model. The record is from RNAcentral.
AGCGAACGCUGGCGGCAGGCUUAACACAUGCAAGUCGAACGGGCAUAGCAAUAUGUUAGUGGCAGACGGGUGAGUAACGCGUGGGAACGUACCUUUUGGUUCGGAACAACACAGGGAAACUUGUGCUAAUACCGGAUAAGCCCUUACGGGGAAAGAUUUAUCGCCGAAAGAUCGGCCCGCGUCUGAUUAGCUAGUUGGUAGGGUAAUGGCCUACCAAGGCGACGAUCAGUAGCUGGUCUGAGAGGAUGAUCAGCCACAUUGGGGCUGAGACACGGCCCAAACUCCUACGGGAGGGAGGAGAGGGGAAUAUUGGGCAAUGGGGGAAGGCCUGAUCCAGCCAUGCCGGGUGAGUGAUGAAGGCCGUAGGGUUGUAAAGCUCUUUUGUGCGGGAAGAUAAUGACGGUACCGCAAGAAUAAGCCCCGGCUAACUUCGUG